This 445-nucleotide ribosomal RNA is filed under the name uncultured bacterium. RNAcentral describes it as "partial 16S ribosomal RNA". It matches the Rfam family "Bacterial small subunit ribosomal RNA", at positions 354 to 796 of the family's 1533-position model. The record is from RNAcentral.
GUGAGGAAUAUUGGACAAUGGGCGCAAGCCUGAUCCAGCCAUGCCGCGUGCAGGAAGACGCAUCUAUGGUGUGUAAACUGCUUUUGUACGGGAAGAAACACUCCCUCGUGAGGGAGCUUGACGGUACCGUAAGAAUAAGGAUCGGCUAACUCCGUGCCAGCAGCCGCGGUAAUACGGAGGAUCCAAGCGUUAUCCGGAAUCAUUGGGUUUAAAGGGUCCGUAGGCGGUUUAAUAAGUCAGUGGUGAAAGCCCAUCGCUCAACGAUGGAACGGCCAUUGAUACUGUUAGACUUGAAUUACAAGGAAGUAACUAGAAUAUGUAGUGUAGCAGUGAAAUGCUUAGAUAUUACAUGGAAUACCAAUUGCGAAGGCAGGUUACUACUUGUGGAUUGACGCUGAUGGACGAAAGCGUGGGGAGCGAACAGGAUUAGAAACCCGGGUAGUCC